This 612-nucleotide ribosomal RNA is filed under the name Hypselostoma holimanae. Its description in RNAcentral is "eukaryotic LSU rRNA". It matches the Rfam family "Eukaryotic large subunit ribosomal RNA", at positions 368 to 792 of the family's 3401-position model. Lineage: Eukaryota; Metazoa; Mollusca; Gastropoda; Stylommatophora; Vertiginidae. The record is from RNAcentral.
AAAGAACUUUGAAGAGAGAGUUCAAGAGUACGUGAAACCGCCCAGAGGUAAACGGGUGGAUCCGCAAUGUCGGUCCGCGGAAUUCAGCGCGGCGCGCGGCCCGGGGCUUGUUCGUGUUCGGGAUCGCUCGAAGAACCGAACUCGCUAGCCUCGCCGGGCCCCGCCGCGUGCACUUUCCGCGGGCGGAGAGCCACAACCGGUUCGGCGUCGAUGAACUGUGCGCGGCGACAGGCCGGGAGGGUUGUAGGUGGGGGCGCUCGCUCGUGCCCACCAGCCUUCCCCGGUUAGCCGCCGCCGGACCGAGGGACCGCCUCGCGCCUUCGAGGCCACCUUUCCCCCCCUCCGGGCGAGUUCGACUGGGAGAGACUGGGCGACCGUGUCUCCCGACCGCUCGCCCGCGAUCGGCGCUGGGGCUGGCCGGGCGCGACCGAGGAGGGUUAGUGGCAAGUCUGUCGGCAUUCCACCCGACCCGUCUUGAAACACGGACCAAGGAGUCUAACAUGCGCGCGAGUCAUUGGGCGGUACGAAACCCAAAGGCGCAGUGAAAGCGAGGGCCGUCUCCGAGCGGCCCAGGUGGGAUCCUCUCCUCCACAUCAACCCUGGAGGGGUGGC